Molecule: ribosomal RNA, 373 nt
Filed under: uncultured organism
Description: partial 16S ribosomal RNA
Rfam family: Bacterial small subunit ribosomal RNA
Source: RNAcentral
GUAGGGUCCGAGCGUUAUCCGGAUUUAUUGGGCGUAAAGCGAGCGCAGGGCGGUUAGAUAAGUCUGAAGUUAAAGGGCUGUGGCUUAACCAUAGUACGCUUUGGAAAACUGUUUAACUUGAGUGCAAGAGGGGAGAGUGGAAUUCCAUGUGUAGCGGUGAAAUGCGUAGAUAUAUGGAGGAACACCGGUGGCGAAAGCGGCUCUCUGGCUUGUAACUGACGCUGAGGCUCGAAAGCGUGGGGAGCAAACAGGAUUAGAUACCCUGGUAGUCCACGCCGUAAACGAUGAGUGCUAGGUGUUAGACCCUUUCCGGGGUUUAGUGCCGUAGCUAACGCAUUAAGCACUCCGCCUGGGGAGUACGACCGCAAGGUUG